Meriones unguiculatus (Mongolian gerbil) is the source of this 615-nucleotide long non-coding RNA. RefSeq lists it as uncharacterized. Lineage: Eukaryota; Metazoa; Chordata; Mammalia; Rodentia; Muridae. The record is from RefSeq and is a predicted model, not a curated record. The transcript has 3 exons.
GAAAUCUGCAUUUUUGUUUUCAUAAUUUAGGCCAUGUGAAAUCCUGAGAACCUUGAAAGAGAUGUGGCAGUCUACCCCCUGCUCCUUGGCAUAAAAUCCAUAUGACAAGCUCAACCUUGCAAGGCUUUUGUCACUGUGGGGCAGAAUGACCAACUCUUGACAAUGGAGUGUGAGCAGGUGUGCCAUUUCUAGACUGAGAUGGCUAAUUACUCUUACAGGAUUAUCAACUUCGGCCCACAGAACCAGAUGACAAUGACCUUCCAAUCAACUCUGAUAAUGGGGACCAGCUCUACCCCGAGAAUGACAAUGCCCCUAGUCAUCAGGAAGUAGCUUGAAGAGUAAACAUCACCCCUAUGCCCUCCACACCAUCACCACCUUCCUAGCUCCUCACUUCUUAAUAAAACAAAAAGGGAGGGAUGUCCGGAUCCAUAAGCAGGCAUUUCUAUAGCCAGCCCCAAGGGACCUGACAAACCAGAUUAUCAGGCAUCUUUGAGGCCACCUACAGACCACCUGAAACCACCUGCACAUGCUCUGGGUCACCUUAUGAGAGAACUCACACCCCCCUCCUUGCCUGCCCAGAGACAGUCUCUGUGACCCCCCCUUCCCUUAAUAAAA